AAAUUGAAGAGUUUGAUCAUGGCUCAGAUUGAACGCUGGCGGCAGGCCUAACACAUGCAAGUCGAACGGUAACAGGAAGCAGCUUGCUGCUUUGCUGACGAGUGGCGGACGGGUGAGUAAUGUCUGGGAAACUGCCCGAUGGAGGGGGAUAACUACUGGAAACGGUAGCUAAUACCGCAUAACGUCGCAAGACCAAAGAGGGGGACCUUAGGGCCUCUUGCCAUCGGAUGUGCCCAGAUGGGAUUAGCUAGUAGGUGGGGUAACGGCUCACCUAGGCGACGAUCCCUAGCUGGU
This 294-nucleotide ribosomal RNA is filed under the name Escherichia coli. RNAcentral describes it as "partial 16S ribosomal RNA". It matches the Rfam family "Bacterial small subunit ribosomal RNA", at positions 1 to 291 of the family's 1533-position model. The record is from RNAcentral. Lineage: Bacteria; Pseudomonadati; Pseudomonadota; Gammaproteobacteria; Enterobacterales; Enterobacteriaceae.